UACGUAGGGGGCAAGCGUUGUCCGGAUUCAUUGGGCGUAAAGAGCGUGUAGGCGGCCAGGUAGGUCGGUUGUGAAAACUCGAGGCUUAACCUCGAGCUGUCGGCGGAAACCAUCUGGCUAGAGUCCGGAAGAGGAGAAUGGAAUUCCCGGUGUAGCGGUGAAAUGCGCAGAUAUCGGGAAGAACACCCGUGGCGAAGGCGGUUCUCUGGGACGGUACUGACGCUGAGACGCGAAAGCGUGGGGAGCGAACAGG
RNAcentral lists this ribosomal RNA (253 nucleotides) under uncultured bacterium. RNAcentral describes it as "partial 16S ribosomal RNA". It matches the Rfam family "Bacterial small subunit ribosomal RNA", at positions 524 to 776 of the family's 1533-position model. The record is from RNAcentral.